Molecule: ribosomal RNA, 262 nt
Filed under: uncultured archaeon
Lineage: Archaea
Description: partial 16S ribosomal RNA
Rfam family: Archaeal small subunit ribosomal RNA
Source: RNAcentral
CAGCCCUAAACGAUGCGCGUUAGGUGUAUCGGUGACCACGAGUCACCGAGGUGCCGAAGGGAAACCGUGAAACGUGCCGCCUGGGAAGUACGGUCGCAAGGCUGAAACUUAAAGGAAUUGGCGGGGGAGGCACCACAACGGGUGGAGCCUGCGGUUUAAUUGGACUCAACGCCGGGAAGCUCACCGGAUAAGACAGCGGAAUGAUUGCCGGGCUGAAGACCCUGCAUGACCAGCUGAGAGGUGGUGCAUGGCGUGUGACUGU